AUUGAACGCUGGCGGCAUGCCUUACACAUGCCAGUCGAACGGCAGCACGGGAGCAAUCCUGGUGGCGAGUGGCGAACGGGUGAGUAAAGUAUCGGAACGUGCCCGGUCGUGGGGGAUAACGUAGCGAAAGUUACGCUAAUCCCGCAUAAGAGCAAUGGAGGAAAGCGGGGGAUCGCAAGACCUCGAGCGAUUGGAGCGGCCGAGAUCAGAUUAGGUAGUUGGUGGGGUAAAGGCUCACCAAGCCGACGAUCUGUAGCUGGUCUGAGAGGACGACCAGCCACACUGGGACUGAGACACGGCCCAGACUCCUACGGGAGGCAGCAGUGGGGAAUUUUGGACAAUGUGCGAAAGCCUGAUCCAGCCAUGCCGCGUGCAGGAUGAAGGCCUUCGGGUUGUAAACUGCUUUUGUACGGAACGAAAAGGUUUGGCCUAAUAAGCUGAGCUCAUGACGGUACCGUAAGAAUAAGCACCGGCUAACUACGUGCCAGCCGCCGCGGUAA
Molecule: ribosomal RNA, 500 nt
Filed under: uncultured bacterium
Lineage: Bacteria
Description: partial 16S ribosomal RNA
Rfam family: Bacterial small subunit ribosomal RNA
Source: RNAcentral